Paramormyrops kingsleyae is the source of this 557-nucleotide long non-coding RNA. RefSeq lists it as uncharacterized. Lineage: Eukaryota; Metazoa; Chordata; Actinopteri; Osteoglossiformes; Mormyridae. The record is from RefSeq and is a predicted model, not a curated record.
GCAGCGAUGACCGCCAAUUGGCGCGAGACGCGGAGGCGGGAAACAAACGGCAGCUAACGGCUGACCGCGGUGGCUGAGCCGUUAAUACAGCACGCGCUCCCCCGCCGCCAGGUAAUAUGCACCAUAAAGCCUGCAUUAAGCAACAAGGUCAGAGAGGAAAUAGCCCCCACCCCCGCCCUAAGCAUGGAGGCUCCUGCUGCGCUAUACACACCCCAGAGAGGCGCUCCCCCCAGGGUGACAUUCGGGAAACGUGAUAAUUCUGUUCAUCACAAGUGUGGUUUGCACCUCUUACGCCAAUUAAACUGCAAGACAGGCUGCGUUUCAUACAUCACCCAGCCAAUGCAGCAGGCGUACUGCUGCCAUGGUGAUGGGCGCUGCCAGCAACCGCCAGGCCACACUCUGCCAGGCUGCCCAGUCGCCCUCCGGCACGGCUCUCGAGAGCGACCCGCAGCACACCCCCCAGACAGCGAUGACUCGUCUGGGCCCCCAUAAACACUGAGCUGCUCCCCCAGGGAGUGGAAAAUAAAUAAAUAUCCGGAGGCCGGAUUUUAUCAGUG